Molecule: long non-coding RNA, 1002 nt
Filed under: Anser brachyrhynchus (Pink-footed goose)
Lineage: Eukaryota; Metazoa; Chordata; Aves; Anseriformes; Anatidae
Description: lncRNA (ENSABRG00000006901.1)
Source: RNAcentral
AUGGAGGGCUUAGGCUUUUGGGAAGUUUCAGCAAUUCCCCCACCCUCUGGCUUGCAGCUCGCUCUCCAGCCCCAAAAGGCAGCGCUGGCUCUCCGUUUCCAAGCUCUGAAAACGAACAACUCAGCCUUGUUUCCAGAGCCCCCAAACCACACGACUCAGCCUGCGCUUUCAGACACUGAACACAUACGACUCAGCCUCUGCUCGAGCUCCAGAAACACACCUUCGGGGGGGUGCAAUCGAGCCCCUAAAACCACCCUACAACCACCAGCCCUGCUCCCCUGCUCAGCCCCGGCCUUACCCCUCGCUGUCAGCCGCUGCACACCCCCCGGUCCUUCCCGUGACCCUCAGGGAAGCCCAGCACCGCCUGCUGUGCCCCCAGCACACCCGCAGCACCCCGGCUCGGAGGCCGCAGUGUGCAGCGGGCAGGCUGCAUGGCUGCAGGACCGCAGCUCCACUAGCACAGCACACCCUGCCCGGCCUUGCCGUGAGUUGCGGGCAGCAAGCGGGGGACACGUGCUGGGGCCUUAUGGGAGUGGAGCCGCGUGCGGCAAUUGCUGCCCCUGCCCCGCUGGCCUCGCUGCUGGCGCCAUGGCCCGGGAUGCCCUCGGCUCUCAGGACGCCAGCGCACGCGGCCGGCUCGUGCCUGGUUUUCAUACAGCCCCACGCCUGUCUCCUCAGCGCGCUCCCUGCCCAGCCUGUGCUGGGGCUCGGCGCUGCCCCGCCUGGGUGUGGGACCUUGCACUGGUUGGACUCCAGGCCGUGGGGAACGUCACUGAGUUCACUUCCCAGCCAGCACGGCGCUCCCCACCUGCUGCGCUUCAGCCCCCUUGCUGUGGCUCCAUUUCUGAGAGAAAGCAGCCCGCUGGGGCGCAGAGCGAGACAGGACGUGGCUUGUGGUCGUUAGAAGGAGCUCGCGAUACUUUGAUACCGGAGCAGCCUUCUGACACAGCAGACAGCCACCUACCCGCUGCUCUUACUGCCCGCCUCACCCUUUCCACGUAG